RNAcentral lists this ribosomal RNA (497 nucleotides) under uncultured bacterium. RNAcentral's name for it is "partial 16S ribosomal RNA". It matches the Rfam family "Bacterial small subunit ribosomal RNA", at positions 28 to 507 of the family's 1533-position model. The record is from RNAcentral.
GAUGAACGCUGGCGGCGUGCCUAAUACAUGCAAGUCGAGCGAACGGACGAGAAGCUUGCUUCUCUGAUGUUAGCGGCGGACGGGUGAGUAACACGUGGAUAACCUACCUAUAAGACUGGGAUAACUUCGGGAAACCGGAGCUAAUACCGGAUAAUAUUUUGAACCGCAUGGUUCAAAAGUGAAAGACGGUCUUGCUGUCACUUGUAGAUGGAUCCGCGCUGCAUUAGCUAGUUGGUAAGGUAACGGCUUACCAAGGCAACGAUGCAUAGCCGACCUGAGAGGGUGAUCGACCACACUGGAACUGAGACACGGUCCAGACUCCUACGGGAGGCAGCAGUAGGGAAUCUUCCGCAAUGGGCGAAAGCCUGACGGAGCAACGCCGCGUGAGGGAUGAAGGUCUUCGGAUCGUAAAACUCUGUUAUUAGUGAAGAACAUAUGUGUAAGUAACUGUGCACAUCUUGACGGUACCUAAUCAGAAAGCCACGGCUAACUACGUG